UAAAUUUAGGCCUUUAUAAUUGUAUAUUGCUGAUAAAUACAAGCGUAUGGGGACUCUCUCUAUUAAACCCAGGACUCCGACGAAAUUGCAGGGAAUUCAUGGUCACGGGACCGUUCUCCGCCAAUCGCUCGUCUGGGCCUGGUGGAAAACACAGGCAUUAUUUGCUUUAAUUGAUUCAAAAACUCCAGAGGACCACGGCCUGGAUACCAGAAAGCUUCUUCCUCUACUCUCACCCCUCCACCAGUACCCCAUCCUCCCCCCAGUGCCUUUCUUUUCCCGGAAAAGCCAGCAGAACCGCUUCCUCCCCUCCAGAGACUGGGUGAUGGUGGGAGCCUGGGGCACAACCAAAUUUAAGGGAGAAAUGGCCCUUCUUGUCCGGAGAUUUCGAUGGUGUCAUUUAAUAUGCUUUCUUCAUGUGGCCACCAGGAUCCUCUCACACACUCCAACCCCAAAAGAGCAAAAAGCUCAUUUGGGAGGAAGUCAGGGUCCAAGGUGGAGUUCGCCCUUUGGGGAAAAGGUGAAACUCAGCUAGCACUAACCACCGGCCCGCAGCAGCUCACCCAUCCUCGAAAAGCAGUAGUUCACACUUCAGAAGUGGACAGGACACAUUGGGGCAUUGGCCUACCUUCCCAGCUCCGGGCCCUGGGUUCUGUUUCCUGCUCAGGAUUUACAGGCAAUUCUUCAUAUGCACCUGCCUUCCUGUUGGGGUCACCUAUACUCACACUCUGUGACACCCUACCACUGGCAAUAGGAGGAUCUAAGAAAGUCUAAGAUGGCAGAUGUAUUCACGGCCCUCAAGGCUGUAGCUAUGUCUAGAUCCAGGGACACCAAGAUAGCCAUCCGCUUAACUUUCAAAGCUAAGGACAAUGCAUGGAAAGGGGGCUCUCCCUCAGAACAAAGGGACUCCCCCCCACACUUAAAAUAUUUGCCUUUGGGCUUCUUCUGCUUCUUCUUCUUCUUCCUCUUCUUCUUCUUCUUCUUCUUCUUCUUCUUCUUCUCUUAAUCCCUGGCAAGAAAAAAAAUCCUAAUGAUGGAGGGAGAAGAAAUAAUGACCACCACUGAGAUGAUAUUCUGUUUAUGGCCUCCAGAGAGAAAAACAUUUUAAUGUACUCUAUUGUGAGCUGGCUAUGAUAGGCUCAACUUUAGGAUAUUGUAAUUUACUAGAGGAAGAAGGGAAAGAGAAAAAAAAAAAAAAAACAGCGCCACAAGCAAUUUGGUGGGAAACUAGGCCUCAAAGCUGAAAAUGAAAAGUCGAUCUGGGGGAAGAUUUUUAAAUAAGUGGGUCAGAGGGACCAAGAGGAGAUGAGGCGAUCAAUCUUAGCCCCCUGACAGCUCCCUCCGAUUGCAUCAAAGAAUUUGGCUCUUUGGGAAAGCAGAGGAACAGCCUAAAUUCCACAUCCCUUAAAAAGGCCUGAGGGAGGGGGUAGCAAAAGAGAAAGGUGAUUCUGGGAGAGCCAGGAAACAGAUGGGAAAUGGGGACAGAGGGAAGGCGCUAACUUGGGUGGAAAGUUUGCCCCGGAGAACUCCCACGGCUCCGGCCUCCCCUCCCCCUCUUCGCUCUCUGCGGGGCCCAGCCUAGAGGAGAAGGCUGGUUAGCAGAGAAGUGGCAACUCAGCGCCGAGCUGGAACUAGAAACUUUCUGUCAGUGUAACGUCCGCGUGGGUGGUGACCCAAUGGUGGUUGGGCUUCGGGUCACGUGACAGCCUCAGUGUAGCUGCGGAAGAGAACCGGGAACUUUAGGUGGCCUGGAAGAAGCAGUACAAGGCUAGGUUUGGGGAGAAUGAAAGGGAAGACCAAAAAAGAAAAUUCCAAGAUUUGGGGGAAUUUCCCACAGAGAUGGAAGGUGUGUCAGUUUGGGCGCUUCUUGGAUUCUACCCUGAGGCGGUGCGUGGUGAGAGGAGAGGUUCAGCAGGUUGGCCAUCUCCACCCGGCGCGGCCGGCACAGGUAGCGGUUGAAGUGGAACUCCUUCUCCAGCUCCACCAGCUGCGCGCUCGUGUACGCCGUCCGCGCCCGCUUGGACGCCGCCGACCCCGGGGGGCUCUUGUCCCCUCCCCCGCCGCCGCCGCCGCCGCCCCCUCCGCCGCCCCCUCCGCCGCCGCCGCCGCCACCGCAACCUUCUGCUGGACCCGAGGGGGGGAGGGGCGGGAAGGGGAGAAAAUGAAAUAAAAGAUAAUUACUGAA
Meriones unguiculatus (Mongolian gerbil) is the source of this 2182-nucleotide long non-coding RNA. RefSeq lists it as uncharacterized. The transcript has 5 exons. The record is from RefSeq and is a predicted model, not a curated record. NCBI's taxonomy places the organism in Eukaryota, Metazoa, Chordata, Mammalia, Rodentia, Muridae.